Molecule: long non-coding RNA, 890 nt
Filed under: Marmota monax (woodchuck)
Lineage: Eukaryota; Metazoa; Chordata; Mammalia; Rodentia; Sciuridae
Source: RNAcentral
AGCUGCCGAGCCGCUUUGUGCGCAGGCGCCUCGCAGCGGGCGCUGGCGCUGGGGCUGCUGGGUGAAAUGGCCGCGGGAGGCGCAGGCGCACGUGGUGUGGAUCGUGAACGUCUAAGUCCGCCAUUUUGAAGGAGAGAUGAAGAAAGGCAUGGAGCCAUCGGGGUAGGACGUUCCUUGUCUGUGGAGCGUGAGAGGCCGCCCAGUGCAACGUGGAAUGAGGUUUUCUAACGUAAAGGCGGGGCUGGGAAGUUGUUGAGAGACCAGGAAGUUGAAAGAGUAGAUGAAGGCCAUGAUGAUGCAAGAAGAAAUGCAGGAGAGAAGGUGGUUUGAAGGACAAAGGAGAUGAAAGAUGCCUGUGUUGAAAGGACCACCGAUGUUUGGGCGAAAUGAAGAAGAAAUGGAAUGGAAGAACAGAAGACUUCUUUAUAAAGGCUGGUGCUUGAUGAGGAGUCACACUUAAUUCUUAAAAUAAUGACUGAAGAAUCCAUACUCCCAAUUUUACAAGUGUGAAAAUGGGAAAUCAGGAGGAAAAAAAUCAGAACUAUUUUAAGGAACUGUAAGAUGCAAAUUAACUCCACGAGUUCGUUUUGGAUAUAUGUGUUCUAAAUAUGUGACUUUUAAGUUUUUGAAGUUAAUGAUAAAACUGAAGAAUUAAAUGAGAUUUAAAAUUUGCAGACCAUUAAGGGGGAGGAUAUAGCAAAGAAAACCUGUCCAAUCAAUAAGGCAGAAAUGGAAACAAGAAAAGCAAAAGAAACCAGAAUAUGCUAACAUAAAAUAAAAUUAGAACCUUAAAUCUAAACUGUGUGUACAAUAAGUAUAAAUGGGUUAAUUUUACUCAUAAAUUUAAAAAGAUAUUUUUCCUUAAGAACAAAAUCCAGCUAUAAGUUGAC